This 864-nucleotide ribosomal RNA is filed under the name Triticum aestivum (bread wheat). Its description in RNAcentral is "partial small subunit ribosomal RNA". Lineage: Eukaryota; Viridiplantae; Streptophyta; Magnoliopsida; Poales; Poaceae. The record is from RNAcentral.
AUGCAGAUGUCAACAGAUCCUAACCAAUACGGCGUAUUUCCGCAUUCAUUCUUCGGCCAACAUGUGGUUUCAUUUCAGACGAGUGCAAUUACCAAUGGGCCGGGAGUCAUGCCGGUCUGCCUGGACACUUCCAGUGGGAUAAAUGGUAAUCUGGCAAUGUUGAACACUACACCUUCGACGAUUGUAUCCACUGCUUCACCCAACAUGAUUCCUGAUUCUAGCCAGAGCCUAAAGUAUGGAGGUCCGAUGGCUGUGGAGUGGUCAUACCCUGAGUUACAGAUGCUUAAUGACGGCCUCCAUAAGUAUGCAAGUGAACCGGGAAUCAUGAAGUAUAUCAAGAUAGCAGCAAUGUUGCCAGAGAAGACAGUAAGAGAUGUGGCCAUGAGAUGCCAGUGGAUGGUGGAAAAACAAAAUACAAGACGACGGAAGACUGAAGAACACAAUGUUGGAAGAAAGAUUAAAGAUAGAAAGGCUGUAUCUCAGGACAAAAUGGUGGAGUCGUCAUUGUGGGCUAACAAUCGUUCUGUUCCAACAGAUACCAGAGGUUCUUCUGUUACGAUAGCCUCUGACAUCGACCGUGCAAUGCUUAAUGUAUUGGAAGAAAAUGCUCGACUUCUCAAUCAGAUAGAAGCAAAUAUUUUGACAUCACAGGCUCAGAACAACAUUGAUCUUUUCCAUCGCACAAGAAGUAACAUCAAUAAUCUUCUACAAAGCAUGAGCCAAAUACCUGGAAUAAUGAGCAAGAUGCCUAGGUUGCCUAUUUCAGUGGAUGAAAAGCUUUGCAGUUAUCUGCUCCCGGGUGUUAAUUUGGCCCAAGUUCUUAGCAGCAGCUACCUGAAAGAGGAGCCAAGAGGAAACUGGUGA